This 69-nucleotide antisense RNA is filed under the name Streptomyces sp. CB02056. RNAcentral's name for it is "ASpks TB sRNA". It matches the Rfam family "ASpks TB sRNA". The record is from Rfam by way of RNAcentral. Lineage: Bacteria; Bacillati; Actinomycetota; Actinomycetes; Kitasatosporales; Streptomycetaceae.
CUUCAACGAGCCCAGCAGCAGCGGCCGUUCGCGGUCCUGGCCGUAGGCGGCCAGCAGCGCCUGGGCCUC